CACGUUCGGAUUGUAGUCUGCAACCCGACUACAUGAAGCUGGAAUCGCUAGUAAUCGCGAAUCAGAAUGUCGCGGUGAAUACGUUCCCGGGUCUUGUACACACCGCCCGUCACACCAUGGGAGUCGGAAAUGCCCGAAGUCAGUGACCCAACCAAAAGGAGGGAGCUGCCGAAGGCAGGUUCGAUGACUGGGGUGAAGUCGUAACAAGGUACC
This 213-nucleotide ribosomal RNA is filed under the name uncultured bacterium. RNAcentral's name for it is "partial 16S ribosomal RNA". It matches the Rfam family "Bacterial small subunit ribosomal RNA", at positions 1288 to 1500 of the family's 1533-position model. The record is from RNAcentral.